RNAcentral lists this long non-coding RNA (1469 nucleotides) under Gouania willdenowi (blunt-snouted clingfish). RNAcentral's name for it is "lncRNA (ENSGWIG00000007205.1)". The record is from RNAcentral. Lineage: Eukaryota; Metazoa; Chordata; Actinopteri; Blenniiformes; Gobiesocidae.
AUCAACAUCUAGAAGAACCAACCAGCACCAUGAACCCAAUCAUCUGCCUGAGCGUCCUACUGCUGCUUUUCUGCACAGAGAGCGCAGCACUCAGGUGUUACACUUGUGAAGGAGACGACUGCACUAAACAUGAAGACUGUGAUUACCUCUGCAUGACCUCCACCACUAUCAAACUGGUAGAUGGGGUGCUCAACGUAACCAGAGGCAGGUAUUGCACAGCAGAGUUUUACUGUGGUUACGACGAGCUGAAUAACAUUGCAGCCAUCUCAGUGGAUUCUGUGGUACAUGUGGCGAACACUAUGUGCUGCACGAAAGACCUUUGCAACAACAUAGAUCUGAAAGGUAAGAUGUUUUUUACACAAUUUUUUGUCACGCAAAUAUUCUACCCAUAGUUUAAUUCUAGCUUACACUGACCUGUUGUGGGUUUCUUUCCAGCCCCACCACGACAUCUGGCAGAGCGGCCAAAUGGUUUACAGUGCAGAGUCUGCCAGCUGGAUGGGAAGAAUUGCCGAAAUGAAAGAUGCUUUGGAGACCAAACAUUCUGCCGCAUUAGAUCUGUGGACGCAGUGCAAGUGGAAGGAUGUGCAACUAACAACUUUUGUUUCUCGAGCCGUCCAGGAGCAAAACUAUUCCCAGGCUUUGCUGGUGACCUUAAAUAUGGACAAUGUAUACAAGCAAAACCCCCUGCACCCGGCCCCCCUGCACCCCCCCCCCCCUGAACCAACCCCCCCUGAACCCACCACCCCUGAACCAACCCCCCCUGAACCCACCACCCCUGAACCAACCCCCCCUGAACCCACCACCCCUGAACCAACCCCCCCUGAACCCACCACCCCGGAACCAACCCCCCCUGAACCCACCACCCCUGAACCAACCCCCCCUGAACCCACCACCCCUGAACCAACCCCCCCUGAACCCACCACCCCUGAACCAACCCCCCCUGAACCCACCACCCCUGAACCAACCCCCCCUGAACCCACUACCCCGGAACCAAAGUGUGUUCCAAUUGAAACCACCCCUGAACCAACUCUGCCACCCUGUGGUAGAAACGGAAAACCACUCCCACCAUAAUAAACCAGUCCUUUGGUGUUGGGGACAAACCUUUAAAACGUUGAUUAAAUUCUGGGUGAAGCUUUAGUGGAACAAACUUAUGAGAGCACCACCCACUGUGAGGUUAAACCACAGCAUUGGUAAAUAUUUUUGGCUAAUCUCCAAAACAAAACAAAAUGGUAAAUUUGUUAACCAACAUAUGUGAUGUUUUGCUUUUUAGUGAUGGAAUUAGAUGAUGAAUUGAUGAAGAUCAACGCUUCCUUCAAAAGAGCGUUGGUUACUUCUAACUUCUACAUUUGACUCUUUUCGUAAAGGUGGCAGGGCUGAGUUUCUAAUGCUUUCUUAAAAUGCUUUCUUCAUGGGAACAAUCAUUAAAAUGAUGAAAUAAAACUAUCAGCUGACAAUUUGUGUUGAAGUGU